Molecule: non-coding RNA, 235 nt
Filed under: Clostridium kluyveri
Lineage: Bacteria; Bacillati; Bacillota; Clostridia; Eubacteriales; Clostridiaceae
Description: T-box sequence
Rfam family: T-box leader
About the family: Uncharged tRNA acts as the effector for transcription antitermination of genes in the T-box leader family. T-boxes are found upstream of many aminoacyl-tRNA synthetase genes and some amino acid biosynthetic genes usually in Gram-positive bacteria.
Source: RNAcentral
AGAAAUACUUUGAAAAAGAAAAGUAGUUUAAAUAAAGUUUCACAGAGAGGAAGCUGUAGGCUGAAAGGCUUCUAAAUGGAAUUUAAAUGAAGUGCUCUUUGGAGUUAUUGGCCGAACUGAUAGUAGGUUGUAUCGGGUUCACCCGUUAUAGUGAUAGAACAUAGUGUUGUGUUUGAUGAGUGAGGUCAAAAGAUCUAAAAAGAGUGGAACCACGGAGUAGUACUUCGUCUCUAUA